This 477-nucleotide ribosomal RNA is filed under the name uncultured bacterium. RNAcentral describes it as "partial 16S ribosomal RNA". It matches the Rfam family "Bacterial small subunit ribosomal RNA", at positions 28 to 506 of the family's 1533-position model. The record is from RNAcentral.
GACGAACGCUGGCGGCGUGCUUAACACAUGCAAGUCGAACGGGCUGCCUGGUUUUCGGAUCGGGUGGUGAGUGGCGAACGGGUGAGUAACACGUGAGUAACCUGCCCCUCUCUUUGGGAUAACGUCGGGAAAUCGGCGCUAAUACCGGGUAUUCUGGCUUCCUCGCAUGGGGUUGUUGGGAAAGGUUUUUUCUGGUGGGGGAUGGGCUCGCGGCCUAUCAGCUUGUUGGUGGGGUGAUGGCCUACCAAGGCGGUGACGGGUAGCCGGCCUGAGAGGGUGUCCGGCCACACUGGGACUGAGACACGGCCCAGACUCCUACGGGAGGCAGCAGUGGGGAAUAUUGCACAAUGGGCGGAAGCCUGAUGCAGCGACGCCGCGUGGGGGAUGACGGCCUUCGGGUUGUAAACCUCUUUCAGUGCAGAACAAGGCUCUUUGUGGGUUGAGGGUAUGCGCAGAAGAAGCGCCGGCUAACUACGU